Molecule: unclassified non-coding RNA, 234 nt
Filed under: Hevea brasiliensis (rubber tree)
Lineage: Eukaryota; Viridiplantae; Streptophyta; Magnoliopsida; Malpighiales; Euphorbiaceae
Source: RNAcentral
GCUUGUGAAGACGGGUUCAAAAAAUGGCAAGGGAAAGCUUUUGACUGCUAGAACCACUAAAAAACUAUCACCACUGGAGGUGAAAAAAACUGUGCAGUUUAGUCAGCGUGUAGCAGGUACUAAUAAUUCGGCAGGAGCUGACAGCAAGCAGAUAGUUCCUGAAAGGAAGACAGCAGCAAUAAAUGUUCCAAAUAGUUUCCUUUUGCAGCCUAGAGAGGUUCAAUCAGCGCUGCA